UACGAGUGCCCCAAGCGUUAUCCGGAAUCAUUGGGCGUAAAGGGUGUGUAGGCGGUUGUGUUAGUCUUCUGUUAAAUUCUUCGGCUUAACCGGGGGCAUGCAGGGGAAACGGCACAACUAGAGGAUGCGAGAGGUGAAUGGAACUCAUGGAGUAGGGGUGAAAUCCGUUGAUAUCAUGGGGAACACCAAAAGCGAAGGCAAUUCACUGGCGCACUCCUGACGCUGAGACACGAAAGCGUAGGUAGCGAAUGGG
This 253-nucleotide ribosomal RNA is filed under the name uncultured bacterium. RNAcentral describes it as "partial 16S ribosomal RNA". It matches the Rfam family "Bacterial small subunit ribosomal RNA", at positions 524 to 776 of the family's 1533-position model. The record is from RNAcentral.